AAUACACCUGCUUAAGUUUAAAGCGACGAAAAGGGCUCCCUCUGGCGGACACUUCAUUACUCUCUCCGUCUUCAAUGCAACAAGCAGACAACUGAAAACGGAAAGGAUAUGGCACAUCUAUAAACCUGCUAAGCCAUGACUGUCCAAAAACCUACUGUCCAAAACUCAGGACAGAAAAGCAUGGUGGACAUAGAAGAUCAACACUAAAGCAUUGAAAAUGUAUGAGCAAGAAUCACAUAACUUAGCAGAAUGACGUUACCCUGCUUUUUACAUCAUCUUCCAAAGAGAAACUUCUUUGACAUU
Gambusia affinis (western mosquitofish) is the source of this 303-nucleotide long non-coding RNA. RefSeq lists it as uncharacterized. Lineage: Eukaryota; Metazoa; Chordata; Actinopteri; Cyprinodontiformes; Poeciliidae. The record is from RefSeq and is a predicted model, not a curated record. The transcript has 3 exons.